ACCCUCAAGUUGUAUCAUAGCCAAUGAGGUUAAUCCAAGGCGUGAUUAUUGCUAGUUGAAAACUUAUCCUUCCAAAAUUUUUGUUAGCAUUAAUUGUGAUAACUCUGGAUAUUCUUGUUAUCCAUAUAAACGU
RNAcentral lists this small nuclear RNA (133 nucleotides) under Terrapene triunguis (Three-toed box turtle). RNAcentral describes it as "Terrapene carolina triunguis (Three-toed box turtle) U4 spliceosomal RNA (ENSTMTG00000005967.1)". It matches the Rfam family "U4 spliceosomal RNA". From Rfam's summary of the family: U4 small nuclear RNA (U4 snRNA) is a component of the major U2-dependent spliceosome. The structure of U4 snRNA from yeast and human has been reported. The record is from RNAcentral. Lineage: Eukaryota; Metazoa; Chordata; Testudines; Emydidae.